RNAcentral lists this ribosomal RNA (497 nucleotides) under uncultured organism. RNAcentral's name for it is "bacterial SSU rRNA". It matches the Rfam family "Bacterial small subunit ribosomal RNA", at positions 30 to 507 of the family's 1533-position model. The record is from RNAcentral.
AUUGAACGCUGGCGGCGUGCUUAACACAUGCAAGUCGUGCGAGAAAGGGGGCUUCGGUCCCUGAGUAGAGCGGCGCACGGGUGAGUAACGCGUGGAUUAUCUACCCAGAUAUUCGGGAUAACGGCGGGAAACUGCCGCUAAUACCGGAUACGCUCCAAUUUCGGUUGGGGGAAAGGCGGCCUCUGCUUGCAAGCUGUCGUAUCUGGAUGAGUCCGCGUCCCAUUAGCUUGUUGGCGGGGUAACGGCCCACCAAGGCAACGAUGGGUAGCUGGUCUGAGAGGAUGAUCAGCCACACUGGAACUGAAACACGGUCCAGACUCCUACGGGAGGCAGCAGUGGGGAAUAUUGCGCAAUGGGGGAAACCCUGACGCAGCGACGCCGUGUGAGGGAAGAAGGCUCUCGGGUCGUAAACCUCUGUCGGGAAGGAAGAACCUCUCAGGGCUGAACAAGCCCUGGGACUGACGGUACUUCCAAAGGAAGCACCGGCUAACUCCGUG